Ailuropoda melanoleuca (giant panda) is the source of this 748-nucleotide long non-coding RNA. RefSeq lists it as uncharacterized. The transcript is spliced from 3 exons. Lineage: Eukaryota; Metazoa; Chordata; Mammalia; Carnivora; Ursidae. The record is from RefSeq and is a predicted model, not a curated record.
UGCUUCGACCCAAUCAGAAGGUCUAGACCAGGUUACCAGAAGCAAUCCGUGAUCCCCUACGACGGUGAAUGAAAGAAAUGCUGGGAAUACACAGAGCAAAGCCCAAGAGUUGGUUUUGAAGCUCGCCUGAAGAUAAUUCAUUGAUACGAACGAGGAGUAUGAAUUACAGAGAAGCUGAGCCAAAAAGGCUGUGACAGUAGUCAGUCCACAUAAGAAACAGAAGAGCCAGAAUUACAACCAUGAUGGGGAAAUAAAAGAGGUGCAGUCCCAGGAGAGAAGAGCUGUCUCUAGUCCGUGUCAAUGCAGGGAGUCUCCGAGGUACUGCCCCAGUCACCUUCAUGGGCUCUGAGUUUCCUUGAUGUGGCUAACUUCCCGGUCUCUCCCUUCAGGUCUGUCCUCUCGCUUAACCAUCAAACUUGUAUUUCUGGGCGCUUACUUGGUAUUUGCCCUUUCACCUUUGACACCAGACUACAUCUCACUACAAUCUCUUUGCUGUUGAUAAGUGAAGAAAAUCAUUGCCAUUUACCCUUACCCACCCCCAUCAGACCAUUGUAACUAACAUAUCGUUUUCAUGCCAACAUUCAUGCCAUUUCCCAACCUUCCUCUCUGCACAUUUUCAAAACCCAGAAUCUUUCAAGGAUCUGAAGAUACCAAAGAAGGGUUCUUUAUCAUUUUGGGUCAUGGACUUCCUUGUAUUAUCUGAUGAAGCUUAUGGCCCCUUCCCAGGACAAUGCUUUCAAGUACUGAA